Molecule: long non-coding RNA, 354 nt
Organism: Helianthus annuus (common sunflower)
Lineage: Eukaryota; Viridiplantae; Streptophyta; Magnoliopsida; Asterales; Asteraceae
Exons: 3
Source: RefSeq, a predicted model, not a curated record
AAAACACCAAAACACACACCUUUGUGUGUGUUCUGGUCGUACAAAACACAGGAGCCAAGAAGGGCUCUCAAGCUCAAACCCUAACAAGCAUAAAAUCAACAAAUUGAAGGGGUAAAUCCAACCUAAAUCGAAAUCCAAGCACGAAUUCAUGAUCACCUCGAUGAAGGGAUCAUAAGUUUGACUCUUGACAAUCUAGAUGGAGGCUUGGGGAAAGAAGCGGGUCAAACGGAUCGUAUACGCGGAAAAGAGCAUAAUCCGGAUACUAGGUGAAGAUGGACCUAAUCCGGAUGAAGAUCAAGCGGCGAGCAAGAACCGAACACACGUUAAAUGAAGCUUCCGCGUCAAAUCUUGAUU